UGGGGAAUAUUGGACAAUGGGCGCAAGCCUGAUCCAGCCAUGCCGCGUGAGUGACGAAGGUCUUCGGAUUGUAAAGCUCUUUUUACCAGGGACGAUAAUGACGGUACCUGGAGAAUAAGCCCCGGCUAACUUCGUGCCAGCAGCCGCGGUAAUACGAAGGGGGCUAGCGUUGUUCGGAAUUACUGGGCGUAAAGCGCACGUAGGCGGAUUUGUAAGUCAGGGGUGAAAUCCCGGGGCUCAACCUCGGAACUGCCUUUGAUACUGCGAAUCUCGAGUCCGAUAGAGGUGAGUGGAAUUCCUAGUGUAGAGGUGAAAUUCGUAGAUAUUAGGAAGAACACCAGUGGCGAAGGCGGCUCACUGGAUCGGUACUGACGCUGAGGUGCGAAAGCGUGGGGAGCAAACAGGAUUAGAUACCCACGUAGUCCCUGAGCGGGCUGGCAAGGCGCAU
This 448-nucleotide ribosomal RNA is filed under the name uncultured bacterium. Its description in RNAcentral is "bacterial SSU rRNA". It matches the Rfam family "Bacterial small subunit ribosomal RNA", at positions 355 to 825 of the family's 1533-position model. The record is from RNAcentral.